CUGUGAAGAUGCAGUGUACCCGCGGCAAGACGGAAAGACCCCGUGAACCUUUACUAUAGCUUGACACUGAACAUUGAGCCUUGAUGUGUAGGAUAGGUGGGAGGCUUUGAAGUGUGGACGCCAGUCUGCAUGGAGCCGACCUUGAAAUACCACCCUUUAAUGUUUGAUGUUCUAACGUGGACCCGUUACCCGGGUUGCGGACAGUGUCUGGUGGGUAGUUUGACUGGGGCGGUCUCCUCCUAAAGAGUAACGGAGGAGCACGAAGGUUGGCUAAUCCUGGUCGGACAUCAGGAGGUUAGUGCAAUGGCAUAAGCCAGCUUGACUGCGAGCGUGACGGCGCGAGCAGGUGCGAAAGCAGGUCAUAGUGAUCCGGUGGUUCUGAAUGGAAGGGCCAUCGCUCAACGGAUAAAAGGUACUCCGGGGAUAACAGGCUGAUACCGCCCAAGAGUUCAUAUCGACGGCGGUGUUUGGCACCUCGAUGUCGGCUCAUCACAUCCUGGGGCUGAAGUAGGUCCCAAGGGUAUGGCUGUUCGCCAUUUAAAGUGGUACGCGAGCUGGGUUUAGAACGUCGUGAGACAGUUCGGUCCCUAUCUGCCGUGGGCGCUGGAGAACUGAGGGGGGCUGCUCCUAGUACGAGAGGACCGGAGUGGACGCAUCACUGGUGUUCGGGUUGUCAUGCCAAUGGCACUGCCCGGUAGCUAAAUGCGGAAGAGAUAAGUGCUGAAAGCAUCUAAGCACGAAACUUGCCCCGA
RNAcentral lists this ribosomal RNA (752 nucleotides) under Salmonella enterica. Its description in RNAcentral is "partial 23S ribosomal RNA". It matches the Rfam family "Bacterial large subunit ribosomal RNA", at positions 2051 to 2802 of the family's 2925-position model. The record is from RNAcentral. Lineage: Bacteria; Pseudomonadati; Pseudomonadota; Gammaproteobacteria; Enterobacterales; Enterobacteriaceae. RNAcentral also lists the same sequence under 2 other names.